This 1348-nucleotide long non-coding RNA is filed under the name Chrysemys picta bellii (western painted turtle). RNAcentral describes it as "lncRNA (ENSCPBG00000027998.1)". Lineage: Eukaryota; Metazoa; Chordata; Testudines; Emydidae. The record is from RNAcentral.
CGCGCGCGCGCACACACACACACACACCGUGUAUUAUCCCCCAUGCUUUCUCCUCCCUCUUCACGUGCAAUGCCUCUGAGUGUGCAAUGCUUGUCUGCUCGGGAGCGCAGCGUCCUUCACAGCGGAUUGGUUCCUCUUUCGGAGCAGAGGUCCUUGGCACCAUUCCAUCUGUGCUCCAGCUAUCCCUGGCUGUUGGAACAUCCCUGGCUGUUGGAUAUAAUUUGCAGCAUCCUUGAGGGUGUCCUAAAUUAUGAUGGUGAUCAGGAUGGUACCCAGCCAGCCCCAGGAUCACUGAUAUGCAAAGGUGAGAUGAAUCCUUCUUUGAGCCUUUCCACCCAGUUAAGCUAAGUGUAUUUUGACUGCAGCUGAGGACUGACACACAUGUCCACACACAAAAAUGCUGUUGACACUCCACAGGCAUUGGCAGUACCACUGUGAGAUCAACUUCCUGGAGCCUGUACUGGUUCGCUGCACACUCAUGCAAUAUAGGAACAACAGGCAUUACAGUUGCAGAAUUUCACCUGGUCCUCCCAACUCCAUCCCAUAAUGCUGCGUUCACCCCCUGCAGCACCUUUCAUUUCCCUUCCCCAAAGAAAAUACGUCUAACACCACCUAAGCUAACUCUCAGUUCAGUUUCAACAAUGCUCUUAAAACAGGCAGAGCACAUUGAAUACAAUACAGUAAUUUUAAAAUAUAUUUUAACAGAAGAGAACUUUCAGAUGGACCCUGUGAGAAUGAUGGUUCUGCCAUCUGGGAAAUGCAAAACAAUUAGACUUCAUUAAAAAUCAGAAGGAGUGAUGUGUAUGGACUCACUGCACCACUCUAACAAACCCAAGCUAUUUAGUGUUGCCACCCUGAACUAGUGCAAGAAUAAGUAGCUCUGAUAACAUUGAGCUUGAUAGACCUGAAAUGAAAAGGGCAUGGGGAGAGAAAGACCCAUCGGAAAAAGAGCUGAAGGAAAGUGAAUAGCUUAAUUUUAAUGGGGAUUUUGUAUGUGAGUUUAUUUUGGGUACCAAGAGUUUGUAUUUAUAACCCUUUUGCUAGGUGUUGGUGGUAGCAGCAAAGGCUCUUAAAACCAACAAACGCCACCAGCUUGAGCCCUGACCAAAUAACCUGGGAAAAAGUAAAUACUUUCCCUGGGUGCCCUAAACAGACAAUAUUUACCCAUUCAUAAGCAAUGAGUCUGUGUAUAACAUGGAGGGAAAUCUUCAUUAGGGGCAAAGGAACACAGCAUCAAUAUGGGAUAAACAUCACCACAAGAAAUCAGGAAUAUGUUUCUAUAAAUAAUAAGUAACCCCGCACACUAAAGUGUUUUUGGCAAAAGUCCUUAAACUUAGUUCCCCAUCAG